GUAGGUGGGCAAGCGUUGUCCGGAAUUAUUGGGCGUAAAGCGCGCGCAGGGCGGUUCUUUAAGUCUGAUGUGAAAGCCCACGGCUCAACCGUGGAGGGUCAUUGGAAACUGGAGAACUUGAGUACAGAAGAGGAAAGCGGAAUUCCACGUGUAGCGGUGAAAUGCGUAGAGAUGUGGAGGAACACCAGUGGCGAAGGCGGCUUUCUGGUCUGUAACUGACGCUGAGGCGCGAAAGCGUGGGGAGCAAACAGGAUUAGAUACCCUGGUAGUCCACGCCGUAAACGAUGAGUGCUAAGUGUUAGGGGGUUUCCGCCCCUUAGUGCUGCAGCUAACGCAUUAAGCACUCCGCCUGGGGAGUACGACCGCAAGGUUG
This 373-nucleotide ribosomal RNA is filed under the name uncultured organism. RNAcentral describes it as "partial 16S ribosomal RNA". It matches the Rfam family "Bacterial small subunit ribosomal RNA", at positions 526 to 896 of the family's 1533-position model. The record is from RNAcentral.